CGGGCAGGCGACAUGCAGCGGGACUGCGGCCAGGCUGCGGGUCAGUGGCUGGACGGGCGGCCCCCUCCGCCUGUUGCGCGCGCCCCGCACCCGGGGAGUGUGGGGUCGUCCCCGGGACGGGGUCCGGGCGCCCCGGUGCAGCCCAGCCCGGCGGCGUCCAGGCCCGGCAGGGAUUCGGGCCUGCGCCCCCCACCGCCGUGACCUCCUCCCCGCGGGCCUGGCGCCGUCCGUGGCUGCCAGUGCUGAAGCCUCGUGCUCCGGGCCGGCCUGCAAUCCGGGCCCAACGCUGUGGUCGCGGCCGCUGCUUGGGGUGCGCGGUCAGCGGGCGACUCCGGCCAGAAGAGCAGUGGCCUGGUGGGGCGCACUGGGCCCCGGCCCAGGCUCGGCGAACCUGCGCUCGCCUGUCCGUGUGACGCCCGCGGCGAGCUGGGAGCCGGACGUCCCAUCCCCGCAGUGAGAACAGAGGGCAUUCAGUGACUUGAACGCGGCCCCACGGGUCGUUCUGGGUGUAACCAGGGUUCAGCCCGGGUCGGUGGGUGUCGGACCUUCAGCGUCAAGCAUGCAAAUUGGUGCUGGAAAAGUUCAGGUCCAGAACCUUCCUUUAUGCAGAAAAUUCCGUUUCCCACGUUGUAUGGCAGUUAAGCGAAAACUGCAAAAUUCGCUCCUGGCUAAUGUGUUUCCAUCACCGGAGGGCAAGUGACCUUUGGGCCUAAAGUUGAACUCACGGACUGUAUUCUCACGUCCAACACAGACUGACGUCAGCAUAACAGCGGUUCCUGGCCGUGGGUGCCAGGCACUGUAAGAACUGUGUCAUUCCUCAGUGGCCCCCUCUUAGUAGCCUCAUCUUACAGGUGAGAAAACGGAGGCACCAAGUGGUGAUGUGGCUGGGAGGUGGCACAGCUGGCUGGGAAGCCAGACCUUCCAGCUGAGUCACAGGUGUGCUCACUGUGCUGUCCAGCCAGUGGGGAUGCUGGGGCUCCAGGGUAGCCCCCACCUCUCUCGAUUGGAGAUCCUGAGCCAGACAUAGAGCAUUCCUGAGCCUCAGUUUACUCCUAGUUAAAAUGAGGGCAUUAGGCAAAGCGAUCACCAUGGCUUUGCCCUCCAGGGAACCUAAGACUUGGUAUUGACCUUGUGGGCUGUGUUCUUGCCCGCUGCUGUUUCUGCAGCCCUUGCCUGGGGCCUGCUACUCUGUCCCACCCGGGCCCUUAUGUCUGUCCACUGACUGAAGGAAUGAGCUGAGAGCUGUCUCUCGAAUGGGCUCCUCCUGCUGCCUGGCUGCACCGGGACCUUUGGAAAGGGGGCCACGAGCCCAGCAGGGUGAGGGCAUCUGAAGACACACGUCGGGCUGCACUGGAUGGGAGAGGAUUUCUGUUUGUCUGCAAGGUGGCUGGGGAGAUAGCAAGAGUAGGCAGUUCAGGGUGGAUGGUCCCAUCUGCCCCUACCCUGUUAUGGACACUUGGGAAGGGCACUGACCUCUCUGAACUUUCUCCACCUGUGGAUAUCGCCAUGGUGAUAAGAGUCAGACUGAAGAUGAAGUGGGAUGAUAUGCGUGAAGUGUCUGAUCGUUGUGCAUUUUGAUGCCCACCUUUCAGAGCUGGUGAUAUAAGUUGGAUUAGAGUGGGGUUGCAUGAGCCGUGAGGGCCCAGCCUCCUGGACCCUCGAAUGCCAGGCUGGGACCUGGACCGUAUGCUGAAGUCAGGGGAGGCUACAGAAGAGUGUGAGCAGAGGAGGUGGUGGGACUCUCGCCCAUGGGCCCAGAGACAGGGACCCCUGGGAGGAAGGCGAGGCCUACACUGGUGGUGGCCAUGAAAUGGGUCGAGCCCCACGGAAGGCAGUGUGCCAGCCAGGGUCUUUCUGGAUGAAUUCAGUGGCUCUAAGUGGGCAGAAAGAGCUCCAAGACACAGUCAACAAAAGACGCAAAUUAAGUGCCUGCAGAAUUCCUUCUCCCAUCUCCAGAUGGACCAGGUGGCCUGCCCCCCGGGAGCUCCGUGAUCCAGGCCCACUGCCGGGACCUGGCGUCUCUGCCUGUGCAACAAGUCGUGCUGGCCAACCAGAGGGACCCCAAGGAGCAGGACACGGAGGAACCAAAGAAAAGGAGAGGGGGCUGGCCCAAAGGCAAGAAAAGGAAGCCCCUGAGGGACCUUUCUGUUCCCCGCGCUCCUACGACAGGGUACGCGAUCUUCCUAAACGAGCAGAGAAGUCAGCUGAGGGCCGAGCACCCAGAUCUGCCUUUUACAGAAAUCACGAAGAUGCUGGCUGUGCAGUGGGAUCAGCUGUCUCACGAGAAAAAGCGGCUGCCGUGCCGGAGGUCCUCCAAAGCCGAGUUCAAAGCCUGCCUUACACCGUUAUCAGCUGUCCCCUCAGUGGGCCUCAAGUCCCUGCAGUCCUCAGACCACAUGUGGCAGAAUGGUGAAGACCACAGGGAGGCAGGUUUCAGCUGAUUGGAAGGAAAACCUUCUGUACUGUCAGCAUCUUUCAAACAAGGAAUGACCUUGCUGCGGUAUAUUUACGAGGCGGAUGAGGACAAGCAGCGCUACAUGCGCGAGCCGGGAGCCUACCAGAGCUCCGAGGCUUACCGAGCCUUCCUGCGGAGGCAGGCAGCACACAAGGUGCAGGCGCUGUGCGGGACGAGUACACCAGGAAGUGGCUUUGAGAGCGAGGGCCUUGACUUCUCAGCAACUGACGCGGCACCUUUUGGUGCUCAUGCGGCUGCCGUGCUCUGCCCGGUAAGGAAGGGACAUGCAGCCAGGAGGCCCCUGGCCGCAGCUCAGUGCCUGGUGCCCCGUGCAGGUCAGUUGCUCCUGGUUGAGUCUGAAGGGGAACGUGAGUUGAUUCUAGAAGGUGAAGACUCACAUUUUGAUUGACAGCCAUCUAGAGUGGAUGGUCCUUGGUUGGGUUUUUCCUUUGACUGUAUCUUGGACACUCUGUGAUCCGUUUUCUCUGUAGUGGGUCCUAAUCUUGGCUUCAGGUUGCAAAAGAAGGCAUUGUAGGGAUUAUCUGAAUGAGUUUGGGUCCCUUCAUGAUUGUGCAACAGGUCACCAAACCUAACAGGCUCCCAGCUUCCACCCUGGACUAUCAUGAUUAAGUGUACAAGGAAGGUAUUUCUUUAAGCAGAAGUGAGAGUAUGGAAUUUUGUGUCAAGGCGUGCAUGUGGCUAGGACGUCCCCUCUGGUGUCCCGGCCCUGACCGCAGGGGGCAUUCGGAGACCCUUUCUUCCUUUCUCGGUGGUGUUGGCACCGCAGCCCUCUCUCCCUUCCGUGAGUUCCCUCCCACAGUCCUCCCAUCUCGCUGCCCAGCCCUCCCCAGCCUUCCUCUCCCCGGAACUCCCCCAGCCCUGGGGAUGCCCUCGCUGCCAUCUCUGCGCAGGCUCGUUCUGCUCUCCUCGUGAGAGGUGGAGCACAGGCUCACGGUGGGCGUGGAAGAAAUCGCACAACGGCGUCUCCCAGGUCGGGGCUCAUCUCCGGGCUGAGGGAGCUCCUCUCUGAUAAGGGAGAGAAUUCUGAGAAAAGGUGAGCAACAGAGCGUCCAGAGCACGGUCAUUUCCUGGCCGGCUCCCGGGAGGAACGUAUCAACUCCAAGUCAGGAACCAGCUCUCAUCAGACCUUGGGGAGUUUUUACAUCUCUGAACUAAUAAAUGGCCUGCGAGCAGUUCUUCAGUUCCCCGCAUAACAAGAAAGAGCACCUGCCGGGGAGCCAGCACCUGCAGGACCCCACCCGUGACCGGCGCUGCUCUGCUCCUGCACAAACGCAGGCCUUGACUCCACCUGCGCUGGAGUGCACCAACCGGCAGCCACAGACGCCCUGUUACUUAAUGUUAAGACAGGAUCUAAGCAAAUGCUCUGAUGCCAGGCGCUGAACCCGGGGCUGGGGACACAGAAAGAAUUGACACAGCUCUGUCCCAAGGAAACGCUAGUAUAUGGAUUAAUACGAACAACCUGUGUUAAAACGUCUUGUGUUGAAGUGAAAGGAGACCCAUAGAAACAGGCCUGCCCCCAGUGAUGACAACUACUGAGAUCACAGUGCUCUGGGACUAAAGAAGAUCCUCCGGGAAUGGAAACGGUUGUGUCCAGUGCUGGACUAUGGGGUGACUUUUUUUUCUUUUCUUUGCCUACUCUUUUUUUUUUUUUUGCUGGGAAAGAUUCGCCUU
Non-coding RNA from Equus caballus (horse), 4147 nucleotides. The record is from RefSeq and is a predicted model, not a curated record. Lineage: Eukaryota; Metazoa; Chordata; Mammalia; Perissodactyla; Equidae.